This 492-nucleotide ribosomal RNA is filed under the name uncultured bacterium. Its description in RNAcentral is "partial 16S ribosomal RNA". It matches the Rfam family "Bacterial small subunit ribosomal RNA", at positions 29 to 507 of the family's 1533-position model. The record is from RNAcentral.
AGUGAACGCUGGCGGUAGGCCUAACACAUGCAGGUCGAACGGCAGCACAGUAAGAGCUUGCUCUUACGGGUGGCGAGUGGCGGACGGGUGAGGAAUACAUCGGAAUCUACUUUUUCGUGGGGGAUAACGUAGGGAAACUUACGCUAAUACCGCAUACGACCUACGGGUGAAAGCAGGGGAUCUUCGGACCUUGCGCGAUUGAAUGAGCCGAUGUCGGAUUAGCUAGUUGGCGGGGUAAAGGCCCACCAAGGCGACGAUCCGUAGCUGGUCUGAGAGGAUAAUCAGCCACACUGGAACUGAGACACGGUCCAGACUCCUACGGGAGGCAGCAGUGGGGAAUAUUGGACAAUGGGCGCAAGCCUGAUCCAGCCAUACCGCGUGGGUGAAGAAGGCCUUCGGGUUGUAAAGCCCUUUUGUUGGGAAAGAAAAGCAGCAGGUUAAUACCCCGCUGUUCUGACGGUACCCAAAGAAUAAGCACCGGCUAACUUCGUG